Molecule: ribosomal RNA, 253 nt
Filed under: uncultured bacterium
Lineage: Bacteria
Description: partial 16S ribosomal RNA
Rfam family: Bacterial small subunit ribosomal RNA
Source: RNAcentral
UACGGAGGGUGCAAGCGUUAUCCGGAUUCACUGGGUUUAAAGGGUGCGUAGGCGGAUUGGUAAGUCCGUGGUGAAAUCCCUCGGCUUAACCGGGGAACUGCGUCUGAUACUGGAUGGCUUGAGUUUGGGAGAGGGACGCGGAAUUCCAGGUGUAGCGGUGAAAUGCGUAGAUAUCUGGAGGAACACCGGUGGCGAAGGCGGCGUCCUGGACCAACACUGACACUGAUGAGCGAAAGCCAGGGGAGCAAACGGG